GACGGAGGAUGCAAGUGUUAUCCGGAAUCACUGGGCGUAGAGCGUCUGUAGGUGGUCAAAUAAGUCAACUGUUAAAUCUUGAGGCUCAACCUCAAAAUCGCAGUCGAAACUAUUAGGCUAGAGUAUAGUAGGGGUAAAGGGAAUUUCCAGUGGAGCGGUGAAAUGCGUAGAGAUUGGAAAGAACACCGAUGGCGAAGGCACUUUACUGGGCUAUUACUAACACUCAGAGACGAAAGCUAGGGUAGCAAAUGGG
This 253-nucleotide ribosomal RNA is filed under the name uncultured bacterium. RNAcentral's name for it is "partial 16S ribosomal RNA". It matches the Rfam family "Bacterial small subunit ribosomal RNA", at positions 524 to 776 of the family's 1533-position model. The record is from RNAcentral.